This 682-nucleotide ribosomal RNA is filed under the name Saprolegnia sp. UNCW114. RNAcentral describes it as "eukaryotic LSU rRNA". It matches the Rfam family "Eukaryotic large subunit ribosomal RNA", at positions 58 to 642 of the family's 3401-position model. The record is from RNAcentral. Lineage: Eukaryota; Oomycota; Saprolegniomycetes; Saprolegniales; Saprolegniaceae.
AAAGAAACUAACAAGGAUUCCCCCAGUAACGGCGAGUGAAGCGGGAAGAGCUCAAGCUUAAAAUCUCCAUACUUGUAUGGCGAAUUGUAGUCUAUUGAGGCUGUUGUCAGCAUCGCGAUUGGGGACAAGUCCCUUGGAAAAGGGCAGCAUAGAGGGUGAUACUCCCGUCUCUGCUCCAAUCUGCGGUGUGUACGAUACGCUUUCUUUGAGUCGAGUUGUUUGGGAAUACAGCUCAAAGUAGGUGGUAAAUUCCAUCUAAAGCUAAAUAUUGGUGCGAGACCGAUAGCGAACAAGUACCGUGAGGGAAAGAUGAAAAGAACUUUGAAAAGAGAGUUAAAGAGUACCUGAAACUGUUGAAAGGGAACCGUAUCGUUUCCAGUGUUGUAUCCUGUGCAUAUUUCAUUCGCGGAGUAAUUUGCGGGUGCCCUGUGCAUGGGUGUGACGUCAGGGUCAGUUUGUAUGCUGCGGGAGAUGGUCAGUGAGGAGGUGCGUCACUUCGGUGAAAGUUAUAUCUCGCUGUCUAGUAGCCGUGGUUGAGACUGAGGUGCCUACAACAUGCCUUAAGGUUCCGUGUUGUCUCGUGUUGGUGACUGCUUUGAUAGCUUGCUAUGUCUGUGGUUUAUUAGUGCGAUUGAUGAUGCGGAUAACUUUUGCUGUUCGGGACUCUGGCGAAAUGGAGCGA